This 1945-nucleotide long non-coding RNA is filed under the name Solanum tuberosum (potato). Its description in RNAcentral is "long non-coding RNA (STUB_LNC007559)". Lineage: Eukaryota; Viridiplantae; Streptophyta; Magnoliopsida; Solanales; Solanaceae. The record is from RNAcentral.
GAUCACUCUAUCAAGGUCAACCAAGUCCCUUGCUUCAUCUUCUCUUUCACUUUCUAUUGGGUUCGAUUUUCUUUCCCAAACCACUUUACUGUUGUUGACCGGACCUUGAGUUUUUUCUCCCAUAUAAAUUGCUUCUUUCCUUUCUAACUUUUUAUCCUCGCUGUUCAGAUCUUUCUUCUAGUUUGUCAUAUUCACAAUUUCCUAAUAUUGACACUCUUAAUGUCUCCAACUCUCGCAUAAUAUGUGAUUAGAAUGGUAUAAGUCCAGCCCUUCUCAAAUUUAGGCGAGAAGUAGUAAAAAUGAUGAAUGUCUAUGUUGGAAGUAGUCGCACAUCUAAAGACAACCAGCUAUUAGGGCCAUUAAAGUGAUGAGGGCCAAUGGGGACUCUUAGCUAUAUAUUUUUAAAUGGGAAGUUUCAAUGCCUGGUGAAAUGUUACAGAUUAGUUUGAAAGAAACUGUCUAUCCAAAUAAUGGAAGAAGCCUGUAGAAAAUGGGACUAUGGGAGUACGACAUAAUCUUCGAACUUUCUCUACUUUGGUUUUGGUGUCAGGAUUCUGUUGGGUUAGGACCAGUGCAAUUCUUUUGGUAUGUUUUAUUUGGAAAUUUGUUCCUGAGAUCAUGCAAGAGCAUCUUGUCUUAAAUGUCUUAGUGUUCUUAUAAAGUGAUAAUGUACUAUUUAUUCUUUUCUUUUCCCUCAAUAUUCUUCCUGGUUCAGCUGCAUGACAAAAUUUGAAUGACUAUGUUGUUUCAUUUGAUUGCUUAUAUGCAGGAAGAUGUCAAGGAUUGGACAAUAGAUGUUAUAACUGACGCACUAACACGAGCUGAAGAAUGUGCUAAACGAGGAUCGAACUAAGCUUUUAAGUCGAUAAUAGUGGUAAGCUAGUUUAACAACAAUUGCUUUUUAUGUACUAGAAAGGCUCUUCAACCUCAGCUGCCCAUUACAACAUACCAUCCUUCUACUAUCAAAACCAGAAUACAUCACUUACCAAGCUCAUGCUUUGAGGCUCCCAUAGUCUCAAUCUUGUCUAGAUAGAGUUGCCCUGAGAAGAGUCAGAAGCAAAUCCGGUUCUCUGUUUGACAAUUUCUUCAGGAUUGGUUUCCAGUCAUCAUAUGCACUAUGCAUGUCAAUAAUUUCAUGGAUUGUUGGGGCAUUCUCUGAGUCCCCUGGAAAAUUUGAGGAAUCCACUGUCUGCAGCAUAAGUUCCAAAAGCACAGAUACCACUUCUGAAGAUGAGGAAGUAUAUAAUCGAAGAAUGGCCUUCAUAGCUCUAGUAAUCUGUUUCUUAGAACCUGAGACAAAUUGUUCUGGAAAAACUCCUAAGACAUUCAGCAUUCCAGAUAUACUGAUAGUAAAGCACUUUGGAACUGUGUCACAGACAAUAUAUACCCGUCCCUUCAAAAAGCAAAAAUCCAGUAUGAACCACUUCAUGAAUUAAGAAAUCAUACACGACUUCACAGAAAGCAACUCUAUACCCUAAUUACUAUGUCAAUGUCAGAGUUAGACUCUAGACAGAAUUAUAAGAAUAUAAACAAAUAUAAAAGAUGCUAAAUUCAACAGUUUAUGAAACCUUGAAAAAAUCCCAAAUGGUGGCAGCUGAUUGCCGAACAGCCCUGAAAUCUGCCGCGCGAACACUUUUAAAUCUCAAAGGACACACUAGUUCAUCUCACUCGCUAAUGUUUUUUCCUUUUAUGAAUGAACUAACAUGCUAACAUUAUCGGUGCAUAAAUUUGACAUUGUACUGAUGCUUUAUUAGUCACAAUGUUUUAAUGCUCAUUUUUCAAUAAAUUGUUGCAGGUCAUUAAGGUGGAUAUAGCAAAUCAGUGUCAAGUGCCAAUACUUUCAUGUGCAGAAGAUUGUCAAAAGAAGCUCAUAAAGUAGACGUAGGAACUCUGCCAAUGAACCAUGAGGUUAUAGAUCUGAGGCUAAAUAGAAUUACCAGAAGUU